GCCCCAGACUCCUACGGGAGGCAGCAGUCGAGAAUCAUUCACAAUGGGGGAAACCCUGAUGCAGCGACGCCGCGUGAGCGAUGAAGUAUUUCGGUAUGUAAAUCUCUAUCAGCAGGGAAGAAGAUGACGGUACCUGACUAAGAAGCCCCGACUAACUACGUGCCAGCAGCCGCGGUAAUACGUAGGGGGCAAGCGUUAUCCGGAUUUACUGGGUGUAAAGGGAGCGUAGACGGCGAUGCAAGCCAGAUGUGAAAGCCCGGGGCUCAACCCCGGGACUGCAUUUGGAACUGUGUGGCUGGAGUGUCGGAGAGGCAGGCGGAAUUCCUAGUGUAGCGGUGAAAUGCGUAGAUAUUAGGAGGAACACCGGCGGCGAAGGCGGCCUGCUGGACCGCGACUGACGUUGAGGCUCGAAAGCGUGGGGAGCAAACAGGAUUAGAUACCCUGGUA
This 447-nucleotide ribosomal RNA is filed under the name uncultured bacterium. RNAcentral's name for it is "bacterial SSU rRNA". It matches the Rfam family "Bacterial small subunit ribosomal RNA", at positions 328 to 792 of the family's 1533-position model. The record is from RNAcentral.